RNAcentral lists this ribosomal RNA (254 nucleotides) under uncultured bacterium. RNAcentral's name for it is "partial 16S ribosomal RNA". It matches the Rfam family "Bacterial small subunit ribosomal RNA", at positions 524 to 776 of the family's 1533-position model. The record is from RNAcentral.
UACGUAGGGUGCAAGCGUUGUCCGGAAUUAUUGGGCGUAAAGAGCUCGUAGGCGGUGUGUCGCGUCGGCCGUGAAAACCUGCAGCUUAACUGUGGGCUUGCGGUCGAUACGGGCAUCACUGGAGUUCGGCAGGGGAGACUGGAAUUCCUGGUGUAGCGGUGGAAUGCGCAGAUAUCAGGAGGAACACCGGUGGCGAAGGCGGGUCUCUGGGCAGUAACUGACGCUGAGGAGCGAAAGCGUGGGGAGCGAACAGG